Molecule: ribosomal RNA, 274 nt
Filed under: uncultured bacterium
Lineage: Bacteria
Description: partial 16S ribosomal RNA
Rfam family: Bacterial small subunit ribosomal RNA
Source: RNAcentral
CGUCCCGCCGGCGACCGGCGCACGGGUGAGUAACACGUAUGCAACCUGGCCGCCACAGGGGAUAACCCGCGGAAACGCGGCCUAAUACCCCGUGACGCCACCGGAGGGCAUCCUCCGGUGGCCAAAGGAGCGAUCCGGUGGCGGAUGGGCAUGCGGCGCAUUAGCUAGACGGCGGGGUGACGGCCCACCGUGGCGACGAUGCGUAGGGGUUCUGAGAGGAAGGCCCCCCACACUGGGACUGGGACACGGCCCAGACUCCUACGGGAGGCAGCAG